Oncorhynchus tshawytscha (Chinook salmon) is the source of this 2989-nucleotide long non-coding RNA. The record is from Ensembl. NCBI's taxonomy places the organism in Eukaryota, Metazoa, Chordata, Actinopteri, Salmoniformes, Salmonidae.
AUUUAAAACGUUUAAAGGUAGAGGCUAAGGUGAGGGUUUUAGUGUAGGGACGUCCCAAGGACACCGGAUAGAACUGACCGUUUGAGAAGUGCGCUCCUCUCACCGCUUUUGGCGGUUCACUGUAACGGACCAUAGACCUGUGCACUGCAUCGAUUACGGACAUUACGUUUCCUUUCCACGCGUGUCACCGUGGUCAAAGCACCUUUUCUUUCCUAAAACCUUUGUCGCGUUCAAAAAAACUGGGAAUUCGGAUGCAUCCCGUCUUCAUUGCGUCCAUAACAACUGGAAACUCGGGGAAAAAUAGCUCCGACUGGGUAAAAUCGUUUUGAACAGUCGUCCAAAGAAGAUCACUGACGUUGACCACGUUUUGUACCAGUUACCAGUUGACUUGAAAGCACCAUACAUUCUCCGAGCUACACUAGUGGACACGAUUAUCGGUAAUAUUACAGCAACAAAGCCAUCCGGACGCGGGGAGGCAAGCUGGGACUGACUACCACAUGAGUGAGAAUACCGGGGAAAGUCUAAUUUAACGGUAUUUCUCCGGUAUAGGCUAAGCGGUAGAGCCUACAGACAAAAAUAGAAGACAAUAUGAUAAGCAGAUCAUCUUUUGCUGACUCGAAUAUUCUACACACUUUCUGUCAGCAACAAUGGAAUUUAGUUUUAUAUUGCCUAUUCUCUUUACGUUUCUUGCUACUACUCUGGUGACCUCAUUGUUCAGUAACAACGAUACUCUGCUGCUGACUCGCCCUCUGGCUUUGCAGCAUCCAAAGCAGAUCACUCACGGGAGGAGGGAGCGAUGAGGUGAAAACUGGAUUAGUUAAAUCAGGACCGUCGGUAAAUCUUACGGAGAAACAGGGGACAGUAGCAGGGCUAACCUCUGCGGACAAACCGGAGGAGGACAGUGAAUGCCGAUUCGUGGGGAAGAUAACGGAUCCGGUGGCAGCGGACAGAAGGACAGUUUGGAAGGAGGGGAUCCAAGCUGCCGUGCACGUGCAAAUGGUGAAAUCUGGCAUUAUGUCUGGCCAACAGUGCUGGAACUCAAACCCCGCCUCAGCGCCGGUGGACAUUCCAGGAAGAUACUUUGGUCACCUACAGUUCCCUGAGGGGGGGUCUUUUCUCUUAGCAGAUAUGGAAGAAGUGGAUGUAGAUUGUGCGCCCAUGAAAUACGCCCCCAGGAUGUAGCGGACCAGCCAGAUGGAGAAGAUGAGGAGCUGGAGGAGGAACAGCGGUCUGUACUGGACUGGGCAGCAUCUCAAUACUCUGACGUGGCUUCCUCUCCUAGUCUCCUCUCCUUUCCCCUUAUUUAAGUGCCACUGCUUACCAGCAGUAACUGGCCAUGUCCAAAUACCCAUACUUGUGUUCUAAAUAGUAGGCUUUUUGGGUAUGCCAAAAUAUGUUUUAUAGGAUGUGAGAUUUAGAAAAUGUAGUUAAGGCCAGGAUGUCAUACUAAUUUCAGCUUUUCAUCUCGUAGAAUUUGCAGCACACUGUUGAGGAAGACGAUAGUCUUUUGAGACCCACAUGCGUUUGACAACAGCUAAUUAUCCAAAUAGUGAAUGUGGCGUGGAACAAGCGCCAUUUUGCAUUACAUGACGCCUUCUCAGUAUGAAUGAGCUUAGAAUGUUCAUCUUUGUUGCUUACUGCAUACAUUUUUACAAAAAAAGUAUGUUCUAAAUACUAUGUAGUAUGAUUAGUACACAGUAUGUAGAUUUCAGAUGUAGUAGACGACAGAUUUCAGACACAGCCAUUGUAAAUAGUCUUUCCAACUCACUAUAACCCUCUCCUGUCCAGUGUCCUCUGCUACCUUACAACCCCUCUCCCUUUCUCCAAGUGUCAGUGAGUGUUGUCUCUGUGAGGUGAUUUUGCUUAGCAGCUACUUCUAUCCACGGCACCACUGGGGACUUAGGACUGACCAAGGCUCCGAAAACAAGGGUAGAGUUCACCACUGACUUUACCUCUCUGUAAGCCGAUCAGACAGACAGACAGACGGACGGGCGGGCGUUGUAAUAAAAGCAUGGGUGCAAUGGGAGCAGCUGGCAGCCAUCUUCCAGCUGCUGAAGGAGAACCAGGAGACAUUUGGGGAGGUGUCAGAGGGAGACGUGGAGGAGCGACUCUACUCCAUCUAAACCCCUAGUCUACUCACAGUCGACUGUACUACGUCUAACUCUACUUUCCCCAAACUCUACUCUAUGUUAAUCCCACAUAAAGCUCACAAUGAAGAUUAAGGUGCAUUCACAUGGUCCACUGGGUUUCAAAGGGGGUGUUGUUUCAAAGGUCCACUCUGUUUUGAGGCACAUACUCUUCUCUAAAGAUUCUGAGGUGAUGGCAAAUCAGGCUUUGGAUAGUUGGGCCUGACUGAUUUGAUUGGUCUGAUAAAAUAUGAGGUUCUUACAUCGUACACACCCAUGAAAGCCAACAGUUUCAGCAAGCCUCACAUCAAACUCUUAUCUGAACAGAUCUUUCUCCUUUCAGCUAUUCCCUGCCUUGCCUCGGCCGUAUCCUUAUCUCGUCCAUUGCUAUCUCUCCUCAACCUUUCCCAUGGAGCACCCUUUCCCAUGGAGCACCCUUUCCCAUGGAGCACCCUUUCCCAUGGAGCACCCGUUCCCAUGGAGCACCCUUUCCCAUGGAGCACCCGUUCCCAUGGAGCACCCUUUCCCAUGGAGCACCCUUUCCCAUGGAGCACCCUUUCCCAUGGAGCACCCUUUCCCAUGGAGCACCCUUUCCCAUGGAGCACCCUUUCCCAUGGAGCACCCUUUCCCAUGGAGCACCCUUUCCCAUGGAGCACCCUUUCCCAUGGAGCACCCUUUCCCAUGGAGCACCCGUUCCCAUGGAGCACCCUUUCCCAUGGAGCACCCUUUCCCUCUAGACGCCUCUGUUUGAACAAACACAUCAUUGGUGCGAACACAAACAUGUACAUUAGAUACUCCAACACGGCUUCUGCUGUUUAUUACUUUUAUAUACCAUUCAAAGCAAUAAACACUGUGUAUUUGAU